UUCAGGCGUCGAGUGGCGGACGGGUGAGUAAUGCUUAGGAAUCUGCCCAGUAGUGGGGGAUAACACGGGGAAACUCGUGCUAAUACCGCAUACGCCCUACGGGGGAAAGCGGGGGAUCUUCGGACCUCGCGCUAUUGGAUGAGCCUAAGUCGGAUUAGCUUGUUGGUGGGGUAAUGGCCUACCAAGGCGACGAUCCGUAGCUGGUCUGAGAGGACGAUCAGCCACACUGGGACUGAGACACGGCCCAGACUCCUACGGGAGGCAGCAGUGGGGAAUAUUGGACAAUGGGGGAAACCCUGAUCCAGCAAUGCCGCGUGUGUGAAGAAGGCCUGCGGGUUGUAAAGCACUUUCAGUACAGAAGAAAAGCUUACCCUUAAUACGGGUGAGUCUUGACGUAACCUACAGAAGAAGCACCGGCUAACUCCGUGCCAGCAGCCGCGGUAAUACGGAGGGUGCGAGCGUUAAUCGGAAUUACUGGGCGUAAAGCGCGCGUAGGCGGUCUGGUCAGUCGGAUGUGAAAGCCCAGGGCUUAACCUUGGAAUUGCAUUCAAUACUGCCAAACUAGAAUGUUGGAGAGGGAAGUGGAAUUUCCGGUGUAGCGGUGAAAUGCGUAGAGAUCGGAAGGAACACCAAUGGCGAAGGCGGCUUCCUGGCCAAACAUUGACGCUGAGGUGCGAAAGCGUGGGUAGCGAACAGGAUUAUAUACCCUGGUACUCCAC
RNAcentral lists this ribosomal RNA (719 nucleotides) under uncultured bacterium. RNAcentral's name for it is "bacterial SSU rRNA". It matches the Rfam family "Bacterial small subunit ribosomal RNA", at positions 83 to 798 of the family's 1533-position model. The record is from RNAcentral.